AACGAACGCUGGCGGCAUGCCUAACACAUGCAAGUCGAACGAGACCUUCGGGUCUAGUGGCGCACGGAUGCGUAACGCGUGGGAACCUGCCCUUAGGUUCGGAAUAACUCCCCGAAAGGGGUGCUAAUACCGGAUAAUGUCUUCGGACCAAAGAUUUAUCGCCUUUGGAUGGGCCCGCGUUGGAUUAGCUAGUUGGUAGGGUAAAAGCCUACCAAGGCGACGAUCCAUAGCUGGUCUGAGAGGAUGAUCAGCCACACUGGGACUGAGACACGGCCCAGACUCCUACGGGAAGCAGCAGUGGGGAAUAUUGGACAAUGGGCGAAAGCCUGAUCCAGCAAUGCCGCGUGAGUGAUGAAGGCCUUAGGGUUGUAAAGCUCUUUUACCCGGGAUGAUAAUGACAGUACCGGGAGAAUAAGCUCCGGCUAACUCCGUG
RNAcentral lists this ribosomal RNA (433 nucleotides) under uncultured bacterium. RNAcentral's name for it is "partial 16S ribosomal RNA". It matches the Rfam family "Bacterial small subunit ribosomal RNA", at positions 29 to 507 of the family's 1533-position model. The record is from RNAcentral.